AGGACGAACGCUGGCGGCGUGCUUAACACAUGCAAGUCGAGCGGAAAGGCCCUUCGGGGUACUCGAGCGGCGAACGGGUGAGUAACACGUGAGCAACCUGCCCUUAGCUCCGGGAUAGCUCCGGGAAACCGGAAUUAAAUACCGGAUAUGACCUAGGCCGACAUCGGCCGUGGUGGAAAGUUUUUCGGCUAGGGAUGGACUCGCGGCCUAUCAGCUAGUUGGUGGGGUAAUGGCCUACCAAGGCGACGACGGGUAG
RNAcentral lists this ribosomal RNA (256 nucleotides) under uncultured bacterium. RNAcentral describes it as "partial small subunit ribosomal RNA". It matches the Rfam family "Bacterial small subunit ribosomal RNA", at positions 26 to 286 of the family's 1533-position model. The record is from RNAcentral.